This 29-nucleotide ribosomal RNA is filed under the name Acer pictum subsp. mono. RNAcentral describes it as "partial 25S ribosomal RNA". Lineage: Eukaryota; Viridiplantae; Streptophyta; Magnoliopsida; Sapindales; Sapindaceae. The record is from RNAcentral. RNAcentral also lists the same sequence under 6 other names.
GCGACCCCAGGUCAGGCGGGAUUACCCGC